This 289-nucleotide small RNA is filed under the name Vigna angularis var. angularis. RNAcentral describes it as "Non-protein coding transcript". The record is from RNAcentral. Lineage: Eukaryota; Viridiplantae; Streptophyta; Magnoliopsida; Fabales; Fabaceae.
AAUGAUUUGGUUGCAUUUGGUGGUGGUGGAAGUUCUGCUUUAUGCUUAGAUGAAGAUUUGUUAACUGGAACCAGUGGACCAUGUGAUACAUUUGGAAACAUGUGUUUGGCUCAUACAUCAGAAUUUGAAUUGAAGAACGUUGAGUUGUGGGGUUUCAGAUAUACUUCUCCUUACCUUAGUCAACAUUAAGAUGAGCACAAUGAAGUCCUUAAGCAGUGAGAUAUUAAAAAGAACAGAUUGCAAUCGCAAUAUCAUUGUUUAAUGGUUGGAUGGGUUUACUUUUAAUUAG